This 253-nucleotide ribosomal RNA is filed under the name uncultured bacterium. RNAcentral's name for it is "partial 16S ribosomal RNA". It matches the Rfam family "Bacterial small subunit ribosomal RNA", at positions 524 to 776 of the family's 1533-position model. The record is from RNAcentral.
UACAGAGGUCUCAGGCGUUGUUCGGAUUCAUUGGGCGUAAAGGGUGUGUAGGUGGCGCGCUAAGUCGGGUGUGAAAUUUCGGAGCUUAACUCCGAAACUGCAUUCGAUACUGGCGUGCUUGAGGACUGGAGAGGAGACUGGAAUUCAUGGUGUAGCAGUGAAAUGCGUAGAUAUCGUAAGGAAGACCAGUGGCGAAGGCGGGUCUCUGGACAGUUCCUGACGCUGAGGCACGAAGGCCAGGGGAGCAAACGGG